CUCUUUUCAAAUUGGGCUUUAUUGUUAUUAUUGCUAUUUCUGAGGUUGUAAACAAAAAUACAUUAGCUGCAUAGAAUAACCAGAAAGACUAAUACUUAAAAAUCAGGAAGGUGAGAGUGACUAGAAAGUGGAAAUAUAAAUAAACUGCAUUCUGUUUUUAAUCUUUGCCUAGGGUUUUUGAGACAAUGAACAAUCUAAAUCGCCACAACACUUCAGAUCACGGGAGAGAUUUAUAAUACACUUAGACGGCAGAGCUGUAGAAUACAGUGGACACAAAAUACCUAAGAACUACACGAACAGUCAGGCUUUUUUCUGAUCUGGCUUUGGCCAAGAAAUAAAUACCCUUGGUGGCGAAAAGCAGCC
RNAcentral lists this long non-coding RNA (363 nucleotides) under Fukomys damarensis (Damara mole-rat). RNAcentral's name for it is "lncRNA (ENSFDAG00000022091.1)". Lineage: Eukaryota; Metazoa; Chordata; Mammalia; Rodentia; Bathyergidae. The record is from RNAcentral.